RNAcentral lists this ribosomal RNA (509 nucleotides) under Cerodrillia cybele. Its description in RNAcentral is "partial large subunit ribosomal RNA". It matches the Rfam family "Bacterial large subunit ribosomal RNA", at positions 1817 to 2597 of the family's 2925-position model. Lineage: Eukaryota; Metazoa; Mollusca; Gastropoda; Neogastropoda; Drilliidae. The record is from RNAcentral.
GGCUCCUUGUAUAAAUUAAAUAAGGAGUCGGACCUGCCCAGUGAAAUUUUUUAACGGCCGCGGUACUCUGACCGUGCAAAGGUAGCAUAAUCAUUUGCCUUAUAAUUGGAGGCUAGUAUGAAUGGUUUGACAAGAAUAUAACUGUCUCUUUUUAAUUUACUAGAAUUUUAUUUUAAGGUGAAGAAGCCUUAAUUUAAUUGAAAGACAAGAAGACCCUGUCGAGCUUGAAAAGAAUUAAUAGAAUUUAAUUAAAUAGAACUAAAUAAGUUGCUAUUAAAAAUUUUGGUUGGGGCGACUAAGGAACAAAUAAAGCUUCCUCUUAACCUAUAACAAUAUAUAAAUUUUGAUCCAAAAUUUUUGAUUAAAAAAAUUAGUUACCGCAGGGAUAACAGCAUUAUCUUUUUUAAGAGCUCUUAUCGAAAAAAAGGUUUGUGACCUCGAUGUUGGACCAGAAUAUCCUAAAGAUGCAGAAGUCUUUAAGGGUUGGUCUGUUCGACCAUUAAAAUUCU